GACGAACCGUACAAACGUUACUCGGAAUUACUGGGCUUAAAGGGUGCGUAGGCUGCGCGGAAAGUUGGGUGUGAAAGCCCUCAGCUCAACUGAGGAAUUGCACUCAAAACUACCGUGCUCGAGGGAGACAGAGGUAAGCGGAACUCAAGGUGGAGCGGUGAAAUGCGUUGAUAUCUUGAGGAACACCGGUGGCGAAGGCGGCUUACUGGGUCUCUUCUGACGCUGAGGCACGAAAGCUAAGGUAGCAAACGGG
RNAcentral lists this ribosomal RNA (253 nucleotides) under uncultured bacterium. Its description in RNAcentral is "partial 16S ribosomal RNA". It matches the Rfam family "Bacterial small subunit ribosomal RNA", at positions 524 to 776 of the family's 1533-position model. The record is from RNAcentral.